Molecule: ribosomal RNA, 497 nt
Filed under: uncultured bacterium
Lineage: Bacteria
Description: partial 16S ribosomal RNA
Rfam family: Bacterial small subunit ribosomal RNA
Source: RNAcentral
GAUGAACGCUGGCGGCGUGCCUAAUACAUGCAAGUCGAGCGAACAGACGAUGAGCUUGUGCCUCUGACGUUAGCCGCGGACGGGUGUGUAACAUGUGUAUAACCUACCUAUAUUACUGGUAUAACUUCGAGAAACCGGAGCUAACACCGGAUAAGAUAUUGAACCGCAUUGUGCAAUAGUGAAAGACGGUGGUUCGGUCACGUAUAGAUGCUUCUGCGCCGCUUUAGCUAGUUGGUCAGGUAACGGCUUAUCAAGGCUACGAUGCGUAGCCGACGUGAGAGAGUGAUAGGCCACCCGGGAACUGAAACACGGACCAGACUCCUACGAGAGGGAGCAGACGGGUACCUGCCGCAGUGGGCGAAAGCCUGGCAGAGCAGGGCCGCGUGAGUGAUGAAGGUCUUGGGAUCGUGAAGCUCUGUUAUUAGGGAAAAACAAAUGUGUAAGUAACUAUACACGUCUUGACGGUAACUAGUAAGAAAGCACCGGCUAACUACGUG